CCUCCACGAGGUUUGCACACCUCAUUUAUCCAAAGCCCAGCUCGCCUGACCCAUAAGUCCAGUCUCUAUACUGGCCCACUAAGCCCAGUUUCACCUGGCCCCCUAAGCCCAGUUUCACCUGGCCCCCUAAGCCCAGUUUACACACUGGCCCAGAAGCCCAAUUUCAUACUGGCCCAUAAGCCCAGUUUCAUCUGGCCCAUAAGCCCAAUUUUCAUAUUGGCCCCUAAAAGCCCAGUUUCCAUACUGGCCCCCAAGCCCAGUUUCACCUGGCCCAUAAGCCCAGUUUCACCUAGCCCCUAAGCCCAGUUUCCACACUGGCCCAUAAGCCCAGCUCGUCUGGCCCCUAAGCCCAGUUUCACCUGGCCCAUAAGCCCAGUUUCCACACUGGCCCUAAAGCUCAGUUUCCAUACUGGCCCCUAG
Molecule: long non-coding RNA, 420 nt
Filed under: Vigna radiata
Lineage: Eukaryota; Viridiplantae; Streptophyta; Magnoliopsida; Fabales; Fabaceae
Description: long non-coding RNA (VRAD_LNC013976)
Source: RNAcentral